This 235-nucleotide long non-coding RNA is filed under the name Cricetulus griseus (Chinese hamster). RNAcentral's name for it is "lncRNA (ENSCGRG00000026404.1)". Lineage: Eukaryota; Metazoa; Chordata; Mammalia; Rodentia; Cricetidae. The record is from RNAcentral.
GUAUACAUGUGCACCACAUUCAUGGCUUGGCGCCAAAAGAGGUGACAAGAGUCAGAUCCUCUGGAACUGAAGUUACAGAUGGUUGUGAAACCACCAUAUGGAUGCGAGGAACCGGAUCCCAGUCUUCUGCAAAGGCAACCAGUGCUCUCAAGAGCUAUCUCUUCAGCCCAUGACUACAGGACAAUGGAAAAGAAGACCAGGAACAGCAGCAGGAUGAAAAAGACGAAGAGGAGCC